CUGCCUCACGAGGAGCCUGCCUGUUACGCCAAUGCAGUAAGAAGCCAAGAUAACAAUGAUGCUAUUUUACCACCCUGCAUGGAUGAGAAUGAGCCAAGUGUCUCAGAUGACUCCAUCACCAUGGGCUACAGGCUGCAGGACCUCACUGUCAUCUAGGUCAUGGCUCUCAUGCAGGAGAAGAGUUUAAGACAGGACUAUUCCUCCAUCCCUGCUGCUGCCACACCAUUCAGGAGUGUUGGUACAGCCAUGCUGUCACCUUGUAAUUAUGGCUAGUGAUCUGGAGUUCGACAAGUAUAGUCUGGAGGACACAGUCGCAUACACACCUCCUCCCAGCCAGCUGCCCCACUACUGGCCCUCCCCAUUGGGCCAGUCAUCCAGAUCCAUAGCCCAGCCUGGUCACAGCAGCAAAGGCCUCCCAGACAGGCCAACACUCAAUCUAAGCUGCUUAAACUCGCAAGGAGCAUAGGUAAAAAGAGCACCUGAAUAGAAAAUCCAAUUUGCCACACAAAUUCACAUAUUGACUUUUACUUGAAAACAAAAACAAAUUGACACUACCAGUUUAACAUUAUCUGCUGUGUGUGUUUGACCAAUUGUAUAUGUGAAAUGGGAGUUGACCCAGAUGUAGGUUGUAGGAUGCUGAAAAGCAGCAUGCCCAACGUGAAUUUACCACCUACUUGCACCAGCCUCCACUCCCUCCAGGCAGUCAGGAACAGCCGCAUCCUGGAGGCUAAUGGCCAGCUCCCCACAAACCACCCCACAUCCCGCCUGACCCCUAUCGCAGGUUGAACCAGGUCUCCACCUGGUGGGUUAGUAUUUUAGUAGGGAGAGCAUAUACUAAACCAUAAUGUCUAUACACACCAUCAUGUACAUAUAUAUUUAUAUUCCGGACUAUGACAUUGUUUAUUCUGAUAUUUUGGGGAUUUGUGUGUAUUAAGUAUUACUGCACUGUUUGAGCUAGAAACUGAAGCAUUUCACUGCACCUGCGAUAACAUCUGCAAAAUAUGUGUACACAACCAAUAAAAUUUGAUUGUAUCUCAUCAAGUGUAUAGAAAUCCAUAGGAACUGAAUUUUGUACUUGGUUUUAUUUCAUACACAUGUGUAGGCCAUAAUAUUUCCAAACGUAUUAUUACCUCCUACAGUAGGUGCGUCUUCAGUCAAGCUUAGGAGUGGUGGGCAAUCUUCAUUUGUCCCUGCCAAAACCUUGAGCUCCAGUGACCCUGCGACUGGAGCAGUACGCCAGUCCCUGAGAGAAUCAUUUCAGGCCUCUUCCAUCAGAGGGCUGCAGAGACCCCAGUCCAUUAGCCCCGCUGGUUUGAGGAACCCCUGUCCCAGUAAGGCCCUCUCAGUUGGAGAGUACCUGUCAAGUCAUGGUCAUGUCUAUGCCUCCCCUGAGAGAUCCACUACCCUGAUUUGGGACAGAAUGGGGCAGCCUGCCAAUGCACAUAGGCAAAACGGUAUACUCAACAUUCCUUAGUAAUCUGUAAGAAACUCUCACCUCAAAUAUUUUCACUUCAUGUAUUAAAGUACAUUAAACAGUA
Molecule: long non-coding RNA, 1538 nt
Organism: Oncorhynchus kisutch (coho salmon)
Lineage: Eukaryota; Metazoa; Chordata; Actinopteri; Salmoniformes; Salmonidae
Exons: 3
Source: RefSeq, a predicted model, not a curated record